UAAACUUCUUUUAUUAAGGACGAAAAAUGACGGUACUUAAUGAAUAAGCUCCGGCUAACUACGUGCCAGCAGCCGCGGUAAUACGUAGGGAGCAAGCGUUGUCCGGAUUUACUGGGUGUAAAGGGUGCGUAGGCGGCUUUGCAAGUCAGAUGUGAAAUCUAUGGGCUCAACCCAUAAACUGCAUUUGAAACUGUAGAGCUUGAGUGAAGUAGAGGCAGGCGGAAUUCCCCGUGUAGCGGUGAAAUGCGUAGAGAUGGGGAGGAACACCAGUGGCGAAGGCGGCCUGCUGGGCUUUAACUGACGCUGAGGCACGAAAGCGUGGGUAGCAAACAGGAUUAGAUACCCUGGUAGUCCACGCUGUAAACGAUGAUUACUAGGUGUGGGGGGUCUGACCCCUUCCGUGCCGGAGUUAACACAAUAAGUAAUCCACCUGGGGAGUACGGCCGCAAGGUUGAAACUCAAAGGAAUUGACGGGGGCCCGCACAAGCAGUGGAGUAUGUGGU
Molecule: ribosomal RNA, 503 nt
Filed under: uncultured bacterium
Lineage: Bacteria
Description: bacterial SSU rRNA
Rfam family: Bacterial small subunit ribosomal RNA
Source: RNAcentral